GGAAGUAUAGCGUUGCCAUGGCGAGGGCCGGGCGCGGGACCCGCCCCCCCGGCGCCCAGAGGAGCGCGGGGCGGCGGGAGCGGUGGCCGGGAUCCGGCCGGCUGCGCGGCGGAAGGUGCGGCGCGGACUUCCGGGGCUCGCGGCGGGGGAGGGCGGGGGCGCGGGGUGCCCCCGGGUCGGGCGCGGCCGAUGUGCCUGCGGACUGGUGGUUCCUGCGACCUGCGGGUCAGAGUCUUGCCACUGGCCCUCGCUUGGACUGGAUGCUCCUUGCUGCCCACAAGAUGGCACCUCGUGGGUGUGUUGACCAUCUACCGCCCUUCCCUUGAGUGACUGCUACUUGUAGAAGACACGAAUGGACGAAUGGAUGAGCAGGAGAGGCAGGCCUCCUGGAGCCGAGGUCUGCCCUGGUGACGGUUGUGGUGGCAGGGUCACUGAACCGUGGAGCCGGGUGGCCAGUGCCAGGGCCGUUCCCAGGGCGGGCACUCCCUUCUUGGGGAUGCUCCUGGGAGUAUGGUGUCUGGGAGGUGGAGGCUGGGCCCAGGGGAGUCGGAGGGACCGUAGGAGGUCCCAGGCAGUAGUGUAGGCAGGAUUAGAGUCCAGUCCACCAAGGGGCUGCCCAUAAGGGGUUCCUGAGACCCGAUGGUAGGAGGCCGGCAGAAGGACAGAGGGACAGGCAUACGGCACUGUGAGAGAUCAGGGCAUGGAGGAAGGACCCUUUGGAGUAGGAGGUCAUUAACCCCAUUCCUGUGUUGGCUGUGAGACACAUGUGAACCUGGAAUGACAGCUGUGAAACUGUGGAUAUGGCUCCUCUCCUGGGAGUCCUGUGCCACCCGGGCCGUGAGCAAGGAUGAUAAUCCCUCUAGCCUCGUAGGGCUGGUCUCUGAAAGUGCGUUCUGAUGCUGUGCCAAGUGGCAGUUAUGUGACAGCUGAUCCCUUCCAUUCUGCUCCUGGAAUGAUCCUGGUGGUUCCCCACUGCCCAUGAGGCCAGGUGCUUGGGAAGCCAUUCAUGCCCUUAAUACUUGAGCAGUGUUUCCUGAAGGUUCAGGGAGCUGGACGUGGACACAGCACUGAGCCCACAGCACAGGUGGCCAGCUGCCCUGGGAGCGUCCUGUGUAGCCAUGCCCCUGGAGCAGCUCAGUUCAGGACCCUGGCGCAUCUCCCUCGGGGUCAUGCCUGCAGUGGGGUGGCUAGUGGGGGACACGUAUACCAUGGGCAGUCUGGGGUGCUCCCAGUUGCUCUGCGCCUUACCCACCAUGGGUCUCCACUGGCGGGGAGUGUACUAAUAUGAGUCUCUGCUGCCUGUGGGCCUGGGGCCCCUGUGUGGCAGCGUGUGGAUGAGGUGAGGCAGUAGCAGACGGUCUUGGCCCGUUGCCGUGUUUGGUGGAAGGGUUCCUUUCGCUUUUUUGUAGUUCUUUCUAGAUCACUUGCUAGUUAUAUAUUGCCAAUACCAUUCCCUACACUAGGCCUUCCUUUUUCACUCCUUUUAUUUUGAAACUCAGUUUUGAGGCCACUGUAGAUUUUCCUACAGUUGUAAGAAAUAGUUCAGAGAGACUGUCCUGUUGCACAAGUUGCCAGUCCCUUGAAGGCAUCUAGGACCCUGACUUGCACACAUUCCACUGACCUUUUCAAAUUUUACCAGUUUUUUUUUUUUAAAGAUUUUAUUUAUUUAUCCAUGAGAGACACACAGAGAGAGAGAGAGGCAGAGUCACAAGCAGAGUCACAGGCAGAGGGAGAAGCAGGCUCCAUGCACCGGGAGCCUGACGUGGGAUUCGAUCCCGGGUCUCCAGGAUCACACCCUGGGCCAAAGGCAGGCGCCAAACCGCUGCGCCACCCAGGGAUCCCAGAUUUUACCAGUUUUAUGUGCAUUUAUUUCUGUGCAGUCUUGUUAACCGUGUAGAUCUGUGUAACCAUCAGAGUCAAAGUGAAAGAACAGCUCCAUGACAAGGACUCUGUGCUGCCCUGUGCAGCCCUGGCCACCGCCUUCCUCUGCCCGCACGCCCCACCCCACAAUCUUACCACAUCAAGGAUCUGUAUAAGUGGAAUCAUGCAGCGGGUGGCUGUGAGGGAGGAGCCUAGGCCUCAAGAGCCAUCCAGGCUGUGUGAUCCAUAGAUGACCCUUUUCAUCCCUGAAGAGUGCUCCAUGAUGUGGGUGGACCGGAGUUUGGUUAACUACUUGCCAUUGAAGGCCUGGGCUAUUUCCAGGUUGGGCCUCUUAUGAAUAAAGUUGCUGUGAAGUUCA
RNAcentral lists this long non-coding RNA (2239 nucleotides) under Canis lupus dingo (dingo). Its description in RNAcentral is "lncRNA (ENSCAFG00020020955.1)". The record is from RNAcentral. Lineage: Eukaryota; Metazoa; Chordata; Mammalia; Carnivora; Canidae.